RNAcentral lists this long non-coding RNA (311 nucleotides) under Malus domestica (apple). Its description in RNAcentral is "long non-coding RNA (MDOM_LNC012765)". Lineage: Eukaryota; Viridiplantae; Streptophyta; Magnoliopsida; Rosales; Rosaceae. The record is from RNAcentral.
ACUAUCCUACUUCAAGUAGGAAUCCUCCUCUUUAGGUCUUCAAUUUCGUCCAUUUCUUUAGUUCCAAGCAUGUGAUAUUUAUUCCAAGCCCAAAAUUGCUCCAAAAGGCUCCAAAAUGUACAUUUUUGCAUACUUUGUCCUUAGAACCUGAAAUUGCACAAAAAUGACUUUAAACACUAAAACAACUAAGGAAUAACAACAUAAAUGCAUGAGAACAAGCUAACUCAGUCGCAUAAAUAUGUUAUUAUCAUAAUCAGACAAGUACAUUUCAUUUUAGCAUGUCUUAAUUUAUGUUUAUGUUUAUGUUUAAG